Molecule: ribosomal RNA, 399 nt
Filed under: uncultured bacterium
Lineage: Bacteria
Description: bacterial SSU rRNA
Rfam family: Bacterial small subunit ribosomal RNA
Source: RNAcentral
GAACGCUGGCGGCGUGGAUUAGGCAUGCAAGUCGAACGGACACUUAGCUUUUUCGAGUGUUAGUGGCGAAAGGGUGAGUAACACGUGGGUUACCUGCCCUAGGGUUCGGGAUAACUUGUCGAAAGACGGGCUAAUACCGGAUACGUUCUUAUUCUUUAACUGGAGUAAGAGGAAAGAUGGGGACCUCGCAAGAGGCCUGUCACCCUUGGUUGGGCCCGCGGCCUAUCAGCUAGUUGGUGAGGUAAUGGCNCACCAAGGCUAAGACGGUAGCUGGUCUGAGAGGAUGGUCAGCCACACUGGGACUGAGACACUGCCCAGACUCCUACGGGAGGCUGCAGUCGAGAAUCUUCGCAAUGGGGGAAACCCUGACGGAGCGACGCCGCGUGUAGGAUGAAAGGG